RNAcentral lists this ribosomal RNA (331 nucleotides) under uncultured bacterium. RNAcentral describes it as "bacterial SSU rRNA". It matches the Rfam family "Bacterial small subunit ribosomal RNA", at positions 568 to 898 of the family's 1533-position model. The record is from RNAcentral.
UGCGCAGGCGGUUUCUUAAGUCAGAUGUGAAAGCCCCGGGCUUAACCUGGGAACUGCGUUUGAAACUGGGAGACUCGAGUGUGGCAGAGGGGGGUGGAAUUCCACGUGUAGCAGUGAAAUGCGUAGAUAUGUGGAGGAACACCGAUGGCGAAGGCAGCCCCCUGGGUUAACACUGACGCUCAUGCACGAAAGCGUGGGGAGCAAACAGGAUUAGAUACCCUGGUAGUCCACGCCCUAAACUAUGUCAACUGGUUGUCGGGGGAUUAACUCCCUUGGUAACGAAGCUAACGCGUGAAGUUGACCGCCUGGGGAGUACGGCCGCAAGGUUAAA